GUGAGUAAUGUAUGGGGAUCUGCCCGAUAGAGGGGGAUAACUACUGGAAACGGUGGCUAAUACCGCAUAAUGUCUACGGACCAAAGCAGGGGCUCUUCGGACCUUGCACUAUCGGAUGAACCCAUAUGGGAUUAGCUAGUAGGUGGGGUAAAGGCUCACCUAGGCGACGAUCUCUAGCUGGUCUGAGAGGAUGAUCAGCCACACUGGGACUGAGACACGGCCCAGACUCCUACGGGAGGCAGCAGUGGGG
RNAcentral lists this ribosomal RNA (250 nucleotides) under Proteus mirabilis. Its description in RNAcentral is "partial 16S ribosomal RNA". It matches the Rfam family "Bacterial small subunit ribosomal RNA", at positions 106 to 359 of the family's 1533-position model. Lineage: Bacteria; Pseudomonadati; Pseudomonadota; Gammaproteobacteria; Enterobacterales; Morganellaceae. The record is from RNAcentral.